RNAcentral lists this ribosomal RNA (484 nucleotides) under uncultured bacterium. Its description in RNAcentral is "partial 16S ribosomal RNA". It matches the Rfam family "Bacterial small subunit ribosomal RNA", at positions 28 to 523 of the family's 1533-position model. The record is from RNAcentral.
AAUGAACGUUGGCGGCGUGGAUUAGGCAUGCAAGUCGUGCGGAAAGGCUCCUUCGGGAGUACUCGAGCGGCGUAAGGGAGAGUAACGCGUGGAUAUCUACCCCCUGGACUGGGAUAGCGGCGGGAAACUGCCGGUAAUACCAGAUAAUGUCUGCGGACCAAAGGUGUGAUUCCGCCGGGGGAUGAGUUCGCGUCCUAUUAGCUAGUUGGUAGGGUAAUGGCCUACCAAGGCAAAGAUGGGUAACGGGUGUGAGAGCAUGGCCCGGCUCACUGGGACUGGGACACUGACCAGACACCUACGGGUGGCUGCAGUCGAGAAUCUUCGGCAAUGGGCGCAAGCCUGACCGAGCGACGCCGCGUGCGGGAUGAAGGCCUUCGGGUUGUAAACCGCUGUCAGAGGGGAGGAAAUGCGUGAGAGUUCUCUCUCACGUUUGACCUAUCCUCAGAGGAAGUACGGGCUAAGUUCGUGCCAGCAGCCGCGGUAA